RNAcentral lists this transfer RNA (66 nucleotides) under Norvellina sp. EMHAU-15062816. RNAcentral's name for it is "tRNA-Met". The record is from RNAcentral. Lineage: Eukaryota; Metazoa; Arthropoda; Insecta; Hemiptera; Cicadellidae.
AGAAAGAUAAGCUAAAAAAAGCUAUUAGGUUCAUACCCUAAAUAUAGAAAAAUAAUCUUCUUUCUA